CCAUAUGUGCCUACUGAAUAUUUAAAAUAUGGCUAGUGUGACUGGGAGCUGAAGUUUCCAUUUUAUUUAGACUUAACUAGCUCAAAUUUAAAUAGCCACAUGUAACUUAUGGCUUGGUAUUGGACAGCAUAGAACAUCUAUAGAAAAUCAAAAGCAGUGGGUAAAAAAUGAGGAAUCAGAAGAAGUAUUUCAGAAAUGUGAACUAUUGUCAGCUGUGAAGGUUCCAAGUGCCUUCUAGAUGGCGUAUUUAUACCUCAAAUCUCUGGAACUGGGUAGCAGAAGACAUUGCCUGGGGACUAUAUAAUUCAGCUCUGAUGGGGAUAUACAAUGACAAACAGAGGUAAAGUUAACCUCUACCUGUGGUUCAGGAGGAGGAGCGCCCCCUGCCUUCUGUCCCUAACCUGCUCAGAACAUCAUUGACAAUGAGCUGUCCAUGCUUGAGAAGAUCUGCAGAGCCAUGAAAAUAAAGAGAACUUCAC
RNAcentral lists this long non-coding RNA (479 nucleotides) under Homo sapiens (human). Its description in RNAcentral is "novel transcript". The record is from RNAcentral. Lineage: Eukaryota; Metazoa; Chordata; Mammalia; Primates; Hominidae.